AACAGGCCAUAGAAUAAUUAGCAGUAAAGUACCCUGGAGAAGAGAAAUAAAAGGGAUAGCAGGAAUGUGUAAAGGUGGAGAGAUCAGUCAGAACAGGCCAUAGAAUAAUUAGCAGUAAAGUACCCUGGAGAAGGGAAAUAAAAGGGAUAGCAGGAAUGUGUAAAGGUGGAGAGAUCAGUCAGAACAGGCCAUAGAAUAAUUAGCAGUAAAGUACCCUGGAGAAGAGAAAUAAAAGGGAUAGCAGGAAUGUGUAAAGGUGGAGAGAUCAGUCAGAACAGGCCAUAGAAUAAUUAGCAGUAAAGUACCCUGGAGAAGAGAAAUAAAAGGGAUAGCAGGAAUGUGUAAAGUACCCUGGAGAAGGGAAAUAAAAGGGAUAGCAGGAAUGUGUAAAGGUGGAGAGAUCAGUCAGAACAGGCCAUAGAAUAAUUAGCAGUAAAGUACCCUGGAGAAGAGAAAUAAAAGGGAUAGCAGGAAUGUGUAAAGGUGGAGAGAUCAGUCAGAACAGGCCAUAGAAUAAUUAGCAGUAAAGUACCCUGGAGAAGAGAAAUAAAAGGGAUAGCAGGAAUGUGUAAAGUACCCUGGAGAAGGGAAAUAAAAGGGAUAGCAGGAAUGUGUAAAGGUGAAGAGAUCAGUCAGAACAGGCCAUAGAAUAAUUAGCAGUAAAGUACCCUGGAGAAGAGAAAUAAAAGGGAUAGCAGGAAUGUGUAAAGGUGGAGAGAUCAGUCAGAACAGGCCAUAGAAUAAUUAGCAGUAAAGUACCCUGGAGAAGGGAAAUAAAAGGGAUAGCAGGAAUGUGUAAAGGUGGAGAGAUCAGUCAGAACAGGCCAUAGAAUAAUUAGCAGUAAAGUACCCUGGAGAAGGGAAAUAAAAGGGAUAGCAGGAAUGUGUAAAGGUGGAGAGAUCAGUCAGAACAGGCCAUAGAAUAAUUAGCAGUAAAGUACCCUGGAGAAGGGAAAUAAAAGGGAUAGCAG
This is a long non-coding RNA of Protopterus annectens (West African lungfish), 971 nucleotides long. RefSeq lists it as uncharacterized. NCBI's taxonomy places the organism in Eukaryota, Metazoa, Chordata, Ceratodontiformes, Protopteridae. The transcript has 3 exons. The record is from RefSeq and is a predicted model, not a curated record.